UUUAAAGUCUGGCAAAAAAAGUAACAAACUAUAAGAGACAUCAUGAGACGCUUUACUCUUCGUCGUCCUCAUCAUCAUCGUCGCCACCAGCAGCUCCGUUCAGUGCCUUGACUCUCUCAAUCAACUUGUUCUUCCUCUCUUCAUAGGUCAGCUUCUUCAAGUUGUACCUGUUUAUAGAUCAAAACAUACAAAUGAGACACCAACGCACCAAAACGAGCCAAUAGUACUAAUAAAGAUUGAAAUGCUCUCACCUCUUGUGUGUCUUGGGAGCAGGUUUCUCAGUCUUCUUGGGGUUGGGGUCUGCACGGAUGGCUGCAUGAACCUUCUUGUACAACUCCUCCAUGCUCUCGGCAUCAACUCCUUUCUUCAAGUACUGACUGAAGUGAGUCUGAAACUUCUCUGGCUCAUCCUCGUUCAACAUCUUCAUGUAGUUUGAGACGUGACCACCAUAGAUGUAGUUCCUGUGGAUCUCAGCAUCGAGCUGUUUGUUCUCCUUGUUGAAACCUGCAAAUCUCUUGUCACUGUGAGGGAUAUCAAGUCCUCCGUCCAACGCACCCUACAGUUAAACCAUAAACAAACCCAAAAGAAUAUUAAAGCUUGUCAUGUAAACACAAUACAACAGAUAAGAACAAUGAUAAAACAUUACAGCAAUUUAUAUACCUUGAGUGCACCGAAGACACGGUUCCCGGUGGUGGUUCUGAUAAGACCAACAUCAAGAAGAGCACGGAAUGGUCUCCUGGACUCGGUUGGCUCAACGGAAAAGUCCUCUCCGGUAGCCUGUUCAUGAUUUUGUACGGUUAGAGAUCACAGCAAGAGAUAAAGCUCAAACCAGAUACAAGAAACAAAAGCACCAACAAACCUCAAGGUUGCCCUCGUACUCUUCAUCCAUUUCCAACAUCUUCAGAACACGGCGAGCCAAUAGAAGCCCGGUGCAGUAAGCUGUGUUUCACAAGGGUACUAACUAUUUAGCAAGACAGAACAAAACAACUAUAACAAGAAAACUAAAGCAAACGACUGAUCAGUACCAGCAGCGUAGUUAGUAAGACCAACGGUGAGACCAUACUGAGGCAGCUCAUGAGCGUAAGCAGAAGCCUUGACAAUGUCACCGGCGAUGCUUGCGGACACGAUCUGUGCGACUAUGUCUUUGUUGGUGAAGCGGACAACAAAACGGUACUUUGGUGUGUUGUACUUGUUCUUGUCUUGGUUGAUGAGACGGAUCCUUGCUCUGUAGUCAGUCUUACCAUCUGCACAAAAAUGAACAAACUAUCAGAACGGGUUGAACACAGACAAUAUCAACAAGAAAGUAAUGCAGAGUCAAAUAAAAAUACCUCUCCUUCUCCUGAACUUGACUUGGUACCUCUUGAAGUAAGCGUUCGACUUGGAUGGCUUCACAAACACCUAUCAAUAUAAAAAAAAAAAUCUUAUAUCGUUAAACUAUCAUAUAAAGCCCAAGUUCUAACGAUGAAGCUGUUCUUCCUAAAGAAGCAAAGAUCUAUGUGAAAGAUCGUAAAGGUACAGCCUUUAAACAUCAAGACCAAAACCCAUUAAGAUUAUAGCAGAGCUCAAGAAUUCUCGUUACCAAAGCUCAGACAAAUAUGAAAAUAUCUAAAGAAACGCUGGAGAAAACUAAUGUAGGAGAUUUCCAUAUUAAACGAAAUGAAAAGCAGAAUCUUAUUGUUUGAGAAAAUUAAGAAGAAAAUAAGAAGGCGGAGAGAUGGAAGCUAGGGCGUACCAUUGUUUGAAGCUAAGCGGAAGCUUUGGGUGUGAGCUGAGAGUGUCGUGAAGACAAGAGGCGGAACAUAAACCAAAAUGCAAGAUCUUAUAAUGAAAAACCCUAGAUCACUCCUUCUUGGGCUCUCUCCCUUUAUUCCACGGCCACGAUUUAUCUGGGCUUAAUCAUGUUCUUACGGUCUACAUCGGUAUAAUGAUUCUGCAAGGGCUCAUUAGUCUUUAUAUUUGGGCUUUUGUCUUCCCAAACUAUUCUGAGUUAAGCUUAUUUAGCUCGAAAAUGUUUUAUAAAAAUGCAAUAACUCAACAAUAUUUUAUUUUAUUAGUUUCUGAUAUUUUUUUUUUGUCAACAAGAGUUUCUAAUUAUUUAUCUGAUGCAAAUAUGUGUUGGACUAUUAUCUUAAUAUUUUGGGUGUGACAUUAUUAUGAGACUUUUUCUGUAAUGAUGGUAUUUUUUUUGAAACAGAGUACAAAUGAUGGAAACUGAAUAAUAUGCGGUAGCUUAAAACAAAUGUACAACUUAGAGCAUCUUUAACGGAUAGCUUAGGAAGGGGGUGCAUAGGAAAAAUUAGUUUAAUAGUCGGUGGGCUCCAUCCAAAUGUAACAGCCGCUGCUUGAUACUCCCAGAUAAGCGUCGAAUUAUGUGGGUUGUUUGUAUUGUCCGUGGACUCCACCGACAUGUGGCGGUCCGCGAUAGUUUUUUUUUCUUAAAUCAGAUUAAAAAAAUUAAAAAAAUAAGCACCCCCUAAUGGGGUGCUGCGUUAUGCUCUUAGAAAUUUGUAACUAGUUUGUGUAGUUCUUGAACAUGUGGCUCAGGGCUGGUAAUUUGUGUAGUUCUUGAGAAUGUGGCUCAGGGCUGGUAAUUUGUGUAGUUCUUGAGCAUGUGGCUCAUGACUGGUAAUCAGUGUUUUAGUGUAACUAAAUCAUCAAUAUGGUCUGCAGCAAUAUAUAGCUACGACUUGAAUGUAGUAACUGUGAUUUCUAGAUUAAGUGUGGGAAUUCCACCAAUAUUAUAUCUUGGUCUUUUCCUUACCACCAAAACAGUUACCAGUCAUGAUUAUAAAACCCACAACCGCCUAUCCACUUGAAAGAAUUUGAAACCUCUUUCAUACAGGCAGAUCACAAUUCAUAAAAUGUAUAUCAUUUUUAGCUGCUGGUGCUCGGUUUCUGGGAUUCCAAAGACCUACCAUGGGACCUUUGUGAUGCUGUGUAUUCUCAUGGUCAUGAACUCAUAGUAAAUAUUUUUUCUUUUGUUUGAGACAUGUAAAUACUUUUUUUUUUGUUUCCUUAAGGUGAAGGAGGAUUUGGUACCUCGAAACUAAGAGAAUUGACAAAGCUUUUUUUUUCUUAGGCUGAAUUGGUAUCCUAUAUUCCUAUGGUGCAUUACAAUUCAACGAACUGUAUCCAUUCCAGCAAUGUAAAUAUUUUGUUUGAGACAUCAUCUUUCUCAUAACUGUUAGUCGAUAAAUUUUCAUUAGAAAAAGGAGAGUUCAAUAAAUUUAAACCCUAUAGUACCAUAAAAAACAUUAUGCAAAAUCAAAUGCUGUGAAAUGUGCAUGUGUGACUAAGGAGAGCGCUAAUGCCAUUUGCUAUAGGAUCUGUAGAAUGGAAAGAAACAAUAUGUAACGUGAAUAUUGCAACAAUGACUUUCUGAUUAGUGAUUGAUGAAGUAGGGAAGGUAUGUAAGGCUUUGCAACGUGUGAUCGUGAGAUUGAUCGUUUAGCUGAAUAAUAAGCUUCUGGAAUAGUUAACCAGAGGCUUUCUAGACUAAAAGACUUGAUUCGUGAUGAUCAACAUAUUUAAGAAACAUAAAGAGCGUAAUCAGACCAGCUAAACCAACAAUGCUAACCAAUAUUAAUUAAUAAUAAAAAAAAAGAAAAAAAUUGAUUCAUAAUCGUUUGGAACACCCUCAUUAGACAUCACUUUUUGCUUUCUUAAUUUCAGAUAAAGAGUUAAAAGUCUAUUUUGCAUACUCAAGAUUUUUAUGUAUUGUCUAAUCCAUUGAAUUGUUCGAAAGGUUAUAUCAGACUCUGAUAAUGAAUGAUUGAUUGGUUGAGCAAUGAACAUUAAAGUACGCAUAAGAUCAAACUAUAAAAAUUCCAAAAUCAUGAAAAUGUCAAAAAAAAAAUUAACUUCUUGAUAGAAAAUAGCAAUUCUCAUACUCAAAACGGACAUAAAAUGUGAAAACACGAGCUUAAUGUUUUAAGUCUGGCAAAAAUGUAAAAAGCUACAAGAGACAUCAGGAGAAAGGCUUAUGACGCUCUACUCUUCGUCGUCCUCAUCAUCAUCAUCACCACCAGCUGCUCCGUUCAAUGCCUUAACUCUCUCGAUCAACUUGUUCUUCCUCUCCUCGUAGGUCAACUUCUUCAAGUUGUACCUGUUUUAUCAGUCAAAACCACACAAUCAGGCACCAAUGCACCAAAAGCAUUAAGAAAGAAUGAAAUGUUUUUGUAAAUGAUUUACCUCUUGUGUGUCUUGGGAGCAGGUUUCUCAGUCUUCUUGGGGUUGGGGUCUGCACGGAUGGCUGCAUGAACCUUCUUGUACAACUCCUCCAUGCUCUCAGCAUCAACUCCUUUCUUCAAGUACUGACUGAAGUGAGUCUGAAACUUCUCUGGCUCAUCCUCAUUCAACAUCUUCAUGUAGUUUGAGACGUGACCACCAUAGAUGUAGUUCCUGUGGAUCUCAGCAUCGAGUUGCUUGUUCUCCUUGUUGAAACCGGCAAAUCUCUUGUCACUGUGGGGGAUAUCAAGUCCUCCGUCCAAGGCACCCUACAGUAACAAUAAACAAACUCAUGAAACACACAACACAACAGAUAAGAAUAAGGUAUUACAACAGUUAUAUAUUACCUUGAGUGCACCAAAGACACGGUUUCCUGUGGUGGUCCUGAUAAGACCAACAUCAAGAAGAGCACGGAAUGGUCUCCUAGACUCGGUUGGCUCAACGGAAAAGUCCUCUCCGGUAGCCUGUUCAUUAUUUUAAAAGAUUAGAGAUUACAGCUAGAGACCAGUACAUGAAACAAAAGUAAAAACAUACCUCAAGGUUGCCCCCGUACUCCUCAUCCAUUUCCAGCAUCUUCAGAACACGACGAGCCAAAAGAAGCCCGGUGCAGUAAGCUG
RNAcentral lists this long non-coding RNA (4844 nucleotides) under Brassica rapa (field mustard). RNAcentral's name for it is "long non-coding RNA (BRAP_LNC002107)". The record is from RNAcentral. Lineage: Eukaryota; Viridiplantae; Streptophyta; Magnoliopsida; Brassicales; Brassicaceae.